This 220-nucleotide ribosomal RNA is filed under the name uncultured bacterium. RNAcentral describes it as "partial 16S ribosomal RNA". It matches the Rfam family "Bacterial small subunit ribosomal RNA", at positions 57 to 305 of the family's 1533-position model. The record is from RNAcentral.
GCAAGUCGAGCGAGACCUUCGGGUCUAGCGGCGGACGGGUUAGUAACGCGUGGGAACGUACCCUUUUCUACGGAAUAGCCUCGGGAAACUGAGAGUAAUACCGUAUAAGCCCUUCGGGGGAAAGAUUUAUCGGAGAAGGAUUAGCCCGCGUUAGAUUAGAUAGUUGGUGGGGUAAUGGCCUACCAAGUCUACGAUCUAUAGCUGGUUUUAGAGGAUGAUC